RNAcentral lists this ribosomal RNA (467 nucleotides) under uncultured bacterium. Its description in RNAcentral is "partial 16S ribosomal RNA". It matches the Rfam family "Bacterial small subunit ribosomal RNA", at positions 28 to 506 of the family's 1533-position model. The record is from RNAcentral.
GACGAACGCUGGCGGCGUGCUUAACACAUGCAAGUCGAACGGAAAGGCCCUGCUUUUGUGGGGUGCUCGAGUGGCGAACGGGUGAGUAACACGUGAGUAACCUGCCCUUGACUUUGGGAUAACUUCAGGAAACUGGGGCUAAUACCGGAUAGGAGCUCCUGCUGCAUGGUGGGGGUUGGAAAGUUUCGGCGGUUGGGGAUGGACUCGCGGCUUAUCAGCUUGUUGGUGGGGUAGUGGCUUACCAACGCUUUGACGGGUAGCCGGCCUGAGAGGGUGACCGGCCACAUUGGGACUGAGAUACGGCCCAGACUCCUACGGGAGGCAGCAGUGGGGAAUAUUGCACAAUGGGCGGAAGCCUGAUGCAGCAACGCCGCGUGCGGGAUGACGGCCUUCGGGUUGUAAACCGCUUUCGCCUGUGACGAAGCGUGAGUGACGGUAAUGGGUAAAGAAGCACCGGCUAACUACGU